UGGUAAAAUACUUUUCUUUAUUCAUUAUUCUGUUUUUUGUUUUACUUUGUCCAGUGCAUGUCAAGAUUCUGCAAACUAUCCUCUGUAUAACAUUAUCGAUUACAAUCAUCGUUAGACUAAAAGAACUCAAAUCUUUCUUUACAUCUUCUUUUUUUCCGGUUUUCAACCCACAAAUACUUCAUUUUGGUGAACUUAUGUCAAACUCUGUAGUUCUUCAUAUUUGUUUGUUUUCUUUUGUUUGAUGCCACAACCUUUUUCCGGUUUUCAACCCACAAAUACUUCAUUUUGGUGAACUUAUGUCAAACUCUGUAGUUCUUCAUAUUUGUUUGUUUUCUUUUGUUUGAUGCCACAACCUUUGUGCUUUAUCAUGCCAACUAAGUAUUACAUUUGAUCAUGUUCAGUAACAUUAUUUUCUUUUCGGAUAAAUAUUGCUUUAUCAUCUAUGAAACACACAACACCAUGUCUGUGAAGUAGCAUCUCAUUUUAACAGCAUAUCCAUUCAAGGAUCAUUAUUUUCCUUACUCCUUGACCUGUGCCUAAGCUAGUAAUUAUGCUCUGAGCUUGCUGCAGAUGC
Molecule: long non-coding RNA, 574 nt
Filed under: Oryza sativa (Asian cultivated rice)
Lineage: Eukaryota; Viridiplantae; Streptophyta; Magnoliopsida; Poales; Poaceae
Description: long non-coding RNA (OSAT_LNC001276)
Source: RNAcentral